Vigna angularis (adzuki bean) is the source of this 1216-nucleotide long non-coding RNA. RefSeq lists it as uncharacterized. NCBI's taxonomy places the organism in Eukaryota, Viridiplantae, Streptophyta, Magnoliopsida, Fabales, Fabaceae. The record is from RefSeq and is a predicted model, not a curated record. The transcript has 2 exons.
UAUUGAUACACUAAGUGAAGUGGCUAGUAAAAAACUAGUCCAAGUUUAGUCCGAACUUAAGGUUCCAACUUGAUGACUUGGGUCCCAAGACAAGUCAUGGACCCAUCACUUGGAGCAUGGCUAGGAAGCUCCAACAAGAUUUGGAAGAGUUAAACCCAAGAGGACAAGCAUUAUUCACACGCUUUGAAUAGAAGCCAGGAGCGCAGCCAGAAGGAUCAACAAGAGACAUACCAACCCAUGGAGAAGGGUAGCAAACUUGGAGCUUCACCAUUCCGUUGGCGUCUGAGCGCCCUGCCUGCUGCCGCUCGAGCGCACGACGUCUAGAUCCAGUAAACCAAGACAUCCUGACCGAGUCGCGCUGGUUGCCAUUCUCUUGUCCCGCUCAAGCACCAACUAUGCAGAUUUCAUAUUUUUGCAUGUGUAUUGUGCGUUCUUCUAGAUCUUCAACACCCACUUCAUGCUUGUCCAUGGGGCAUUAGAUUCACACUUGUAAGAAUGAUUUAGCACCGUAGAUGUAGAGAAUAGGAGGGGAAUUUCUCCUAUAAAUUCCCCCUUGCUAAGCCUUGUACGUCACUUUUGUUGAUAUAUGAGUUUUACUCUGCUGAAGUAUUCCCAGCCCAUAACUCUGUCUGAAAGUCACUCUAAAUUAAGCUUUCAUCCUCCUCCUAGCUUCCUUCUAGUGCAGGUUGCUUGAGCUAGAGAUCUCAUCCUCCAUACAACUCUUCCUCCACCAUCUACAACCACUGUUUCACAUCUGCACAUUGCUGCCAAACCCCAAGCAAUUUCUUCCGCUGCAUUUGGUUCGAGUUCUCGUAUGCAGCAACUCAUCAUGUUGGUAUCAGAGCCAGAACUAUUCCAGGUUGUCCUACUACACUUGUAGCAUCUUAGGUAGAGGAUUGGAGCAAGGAAAGAUCAACAUUGGAGUUGAUUUCUGGAGCAACAGAAUCACAAUUUUGGGCUGUACAAAAUCUGGUUGCUACAAAUAGCAGAGUGUUUCACUACAGCUGUGAGAUUUGCGUGAUUCAAAUUCAUUUGAGAGAAGCCAAAGCUGCCACACAUCAUUUACUUUCCAUUUAUUUGUUGUUCAAAUUCAUUUAUUUUGCAAAAUACUUGUAAUUGGCCAUUAAGCAAGUCAUUUGGAAGAAUUCACAAGUGUUCAGUUCUUCCAUCACUUGCCAACUUUGCUUUUAUUUAUUCAUUCUAAAAUUGGUAGAUA